CAGACUCUAACAUUUGCCAGGCGCCAUCCUGACUUGUUUACAGACUCUAACAGAGUCCCAUAGGAUGGAAGAUGGGGAGAAAGAAUUUCUGUUUGCUAGGUCAGCUCCAGAGCCUUUCUGUUAUGCGAAAUCAAGGGAACAGACAUGAAGCUGGAAGAUAAAAACUGUGUGGGACUGAGUGAGGGUGGAAGAGAUAGGUUUGGGGAAAAGCUUAUCCAGGUGAAAAAUGUUGAAUAGGAGAAAUGAUUUAAGUGUCACUGGACUACACUUGGAAUAUGCUCCCACUCCACCCCUCCCCCUGCCUGUAAUGUUUAUUUGAGAAAGGAAAUCAAGAUUUAAAUAAUUUUAGUAGUUUAUUUAUUUAUUUGUUGACCCUGGGGGUGCUUAACUACUGAGCCACAUCCCCAGCCCCUUUUAAAUUUUAUUUAGAGAAAUGGUUUUGCUGAGUUGCCUAGGUCCUCACUAAAUUGCUGAGGCUGGCUUUGAACUCACCAUCCUUCUCAGUCACUCAGAUUACAGGUGUGUGCCACCAUACCCAGUAUAAAUAAGUUUACAGCUUAUUAUUAGUUUGAUUUCUAAAA
Molecule: long non-coding RNA, 581 nt
Filed under: Marmota monax (woodchuck)
Lineage: Eukaryota; Metazoa; Chordata; Mammalia; Rodentia; Sciuridae
Source: RNAcentral